This 314-nucleotide long non-coding RNA is filed under the name Taeniopygia guttata (zebra finch). RNAcentral's name for it is "lncRNA (ENSTGUG00000024609.1)". The record is from RNAcentral. Lineage: Eukaryota; Metazoa; Chordata; Aves; Passeriformes; Estrildidae.
UAAUUUUUCAGUGUAGGUGUUACUGCACCUUGUGAAAACCAAACACUGUAAUUUCCCAGCCCGGAUGACUUUUCUUCUCUCAACUGCUUCAGACAGCUUGGCUGCAGAUUUGCUGUCUUCUGUGCCUCGAGUCAGCUGCACCUCUUACAGCCAUGUGUGGUCUGACAGGUGCUUCCAGGGAAACCCAGCAGUGCAGGAAUAAGAACCCAAGGGGGACUGGAAACUCCAGGGAUGACUGCAAAAGGGGAAAGUUUUUGCUACAAAGGAAGAAAUUGCCAUGGCUUUGGUCUCCAGUAGCUUUGAAAAAAAACUGA